UAUAUUAAAGUUGUUGCAAGUUAAAAAGCUCGUAGUUGAAUUUCGGGGUUAGUAGGUUGGUCAUGCCUAUGGUAUGUACUGGUCUCAGUGAUUCCUCCUUCCUGAUGAGCCGUAAUGCCAUUAAUUUGGUGUUGCGGGGAAUUUGGACUGUUACUUUGAAAAAAUUAGAGUGUUUAAAGCAAGCUAACGCUUGAAUACAUUAGCAUGGAAUAAUGAAAUAGGACGUUCGAUCCUAUUUUGUUGGUUUCUAGGAUUGACGUAAUGAUUAAUAGGGAUAGUUGGGGGCAUUAGUAUUCAAUUGUCAGAGGUGAAAUUCUUGGAUUUAUUGAAGACUAACUACUGCGAAAGCAUUUGCCAAGGAUGUUUUCAUUAAUCAAGAACGAAAGUUAGGGGAUCGAAGACGAUCAGAUACCGUCGUAGUCUUAACCAUAAACUAUGCCGACUAGGGAUCGGAUGAUGGUAAUUUUUAAUGACUCA
This 477-nucleotide ribosomal RNA is filed under the name uncultured Glomus. RNAcentral's name for it is "SSU rRNA". It matches the Rfam family "Eukaryotic small subunit ribosomal RNA", at positions 600 to 1078 of the family's 1831-position model. The record is from RNAcentral. Lineage: Eukaryota; Fungi; Glomeromycota; Glomeromycetes; Glomerales; Glomeraceae.